RNAcentral lists this ribosomal RNA (564 nucleotides) under uncultured bacterium. Its description in RNAcentral is "bacterial SSU rRNA". It matches the Rfam family "Bacterial small subunit ribosomal RNA", at positions 82 to 660 of the family's 1533-position model. The record is from RNAcentral.
GCUUUUCGGAUCAGUGGCGAAUGGGUGAGUAACACGUGAGUAACCUGCCCUUGACCCUGGGAUAACUGCUAGAAAUGGUAGCUAAUACCGGAUACGACCCUCGGCCGCAUGGUCAGGGGGUGGAAAGAAUUUUGGUCAAGGAUGGACUCGCGGCCUAUCAGGUAGUUGGUGAGGUAAUGGCUCACCAAGCCUACGACGGGUAGCCGGCCUGAGAGGGUGACCGGCCACACUGGGACUGAGACACGGCCCAGACUCCUACGGGAGGCAGCAGUGGGGAAUAUUGCACAAUGGGCGAAAGCCUGAUGCAGCAACGCCGCGUGAGGGACGACGGCCUUCGGGUUGUAAACCUCUUUUAGUAGGGAAGAAGCGAAAGUGACGGUACCUGCAGAAAAAGCACCGGCUAACUACGCGCCAGCAGCCGCGGUAAUACGUAGGGUGCAAGCGUUGUCCGGAAUUAUUGGGCGUAAAGAGCUCGUAGGCGGUUUGUCGCGUCUGCUGUGAAAUCCGGAGGCUCAACCUCCGGCCUGCAGUGGGUACGGGCAGACUAGAGUGCGGUAGGGGAGA